This is an RNA transcript of Zea mays, 760 nucleotides long. It is a transcript of the gene named Erp29c superfamily protein pseudogene, with no coding region annotated. NCBI's taxonomy places the organism in Eukaryota, Viridiplantae, Streptophyta, Magnoliopsida, Poales, Poaceae. The record is from RefSeq and is marked validated. The transcript has 3 exons.
UGUUGCUGUGUAGGCUGGGCUUGUGCCAAGCUUGAACCCUCUUGUGAAGGAGUUUCUCAAUGCUGCUGAUGACAAGCGGAAGGAAGUCCUCUCUAAAAUAGAAGAGGAUGUUGCUAAGCUCAGUGGUUCUGCAGCCAAGCAUGGAAAGAUAUAUGUGACAGCUGCAAAGAAGAUCAUGGACAAGGGCUCUGACUACACAAAGAAGGAGACUGAGAGGAUUCACCGCAUGCUGGAGAAGUGGUGUAGCUAGUUCAGUAAAGAUGAAAAGCGUCAAACUAGUUGUGGAAUGGUGGUAUUGUUUACAGUACAUGUGUUUGGACUUUGGACACUAGGUUCCAAUGACAUUAUGAGGUCAGAAAUUGUGAUCACCUGCUUGACAAAUGCUAAGACUGUGAUGUGACUUGCAUUUGCAGAUUGCAAACCUAUUCUUACUCAGAAAUUCUUGUGUACAGAUUCCAAGUUCACACAACAGGAGUUGCCAGCUUGCAAGCCGAUUCUUACUCCAAAAUGGGUAGGCUUACGGGUUGUGAAGAUUAUGAUGCUACUGGUAAGUUUGGUCUUACUCAGUUUUCACUUCAAAGUUUGGUGGCUAACACGGUUGCAGGUAUUGUUGGAGGGACGGGCAUCAUGCCUGGAGGUAGGGAUUACAACUAAUUCUUUAUUAUUUGUUGUUUUCCCCUCUGAAAAAAAUUUGUUCUGGCAGCAUUUCAUUUCUGUAAUUUAUUACAAAAAAUAAUAUUUUGGGCAUGACUUAUCUCCC